AGUCCAUGAGUAGGACAUUUCCUCAACAUUCCCUUAAACCUUGUCCAUGCUUCAUGAAGGGAUUAAUCAGCAAAUUACCUAAAUCUGGUAAUGUUGUCUCUUAGAUC
Gastrolobium bilobum is the source of this 107-nucleotide small nucleolar RNA. NCBI's taxonomy places the organism in Eukaryota, Viridiplantae, Streptophyta, Magnoliopsida, Fabales, Fabaceae. The record is from RefSeq and is a predicted model, not a curated record.